RNAcentral lists this ribosomal RNA (1200 nucleotides) under Triticum aestivum (bread wheat). RNAcentral describes it as "partial small subunit ribosomal RNA". The record is from RNAcentral. Lineage: Eukaryota; Viridiplantae; Streptophyta; Magnoliopsida; Poales; Poaceae.
AUGGCUGUGGAGGCGCCUCAGCCUGAACAAGCAGCGGGUGAAUCCGUGGAGCAGGGUGCGGCGGCGGGCGGCGGCAGACUGAAGAAGGGCCCGUGGACGCCGGAUGAGGACCAGCUGUUGGUGGAGCACGUACGGCGGCACGGGGAAGGGAGCUGGAACGCGGUGCGGCGGGAGACGGGGCUGCUGCGCUGCGGCAAGAGUUGCCGGCUCCGGUGGGCCAACCACCUUCGCCCCAACCUCAAGCGUGGCCCCUUCUCGCCGGAGGAGGAGCGCCUCAUCCUCCGCCUCCACGCGCUCAUCGGCAACAAGUGGGCGCGCAUCUCUGCACACCUGCCGGGGAGGACGGACAAUGAGAUCAAGAACUACUGGAACACGCGGUUGAAGCGGCGGAAGCGCGCCGGCAUGGCCCUGUACCCGCCGGAUGUCGAGCGGGAGGUGGCGCUCGUCCGCGCCGGCAAGCUGAGGCCCAUCGUCGACGCCGACGGCAACGCCAGCAGCCUCCAAGCACCGCUCCUCCUGGACGCGGCCGCGGACCAGUUCGCCUGGCCGGCUGCGCCGCCGUUCCACCCCGCCUACAACAACGUCGCUCCUCCGCAGCCUUUCCAAUUUACCGGCAACAUUAGCCACAACCCGCAGGCCCUCCUCGCAGCGCAAGUACCGUACCUCCACCACGACGAGGUUUCCGCCGGCCUCGGCCACGCCAACAAGCUUUACGCCGACGCACCGGGGAUGCCACCGUUGGUGCCCCCCGCUGUACAGGAGCUCCCUUCGAACCAAUCUCCCGCGGACGCCGGCGGGCCGCUCGAGAUGCUCGUCCUCGAGCAGGACCAGCGGCUGCCCGGCGCCGCCCUGCUCCGCGUUACGUCCAUGCCGGAGCUGGUCUACAACGAGAACGACUACUCCGCGUGGCCGUCCGGCCUCAGCGGUGGCAGUGGCAGCCGAUCCGAAGGCGACGUGACCUCGCAUUAUGGCGGGAAAUGCGACUGCUUCGAUGGCGUGAAGCCUGCGAAGAGGAUGGCCGCGAGCUUGGUGGUGGCAGAGGAGGAGGUGUCCGGCCUGUUCGGCGGCGAAGAUUUGGUGGAGGUGUGGCCUGACAAGCCGCCGGAGUCGAUCACGAAAGACGACUUCAACCUCCAGAUGGAGAUGCAGCACCUCAUGCCCCCCGUGCCGCUCUCGGCUGACGAACACGGCUUGAAUUAA